ACUCCUGCGGGAGGCAGCAGUGGGGAAUUUUGGACAAUGGGCGAAAGCCUGAUCCAGCAAUGCCGCGUGAGUGAAGAAGGCCUUCGGGUUGUAAAGCUCUUUUGUCAGGGAAGAAACGGUGAAAGCUAAUAUCUUUUGCUAAUGACGGUACCUGAAGAAUAAGCACCGGCUAACUACGUGCCAGCAGCCGCGGUAAUACGUAGGGUGCAAGCGUUAAUCGGAAUUACUGGGCGUAAAGCGUGCGCAGGCGGUUUUGUAAGUCUGAUGUGAAAUCCCCGGGCUCAACCUGGGAAUUGCAUUGGAGACUGCAAGGCUAGAAUCUGGCAGAGGGGGGUAGAAUUCCACGUGUAGCAGUGAAAUGCGUAGAUAUGUGGAGGAACACCGAUGGCGAAGGCAGCCCCCUGGGUCAAGAUUGACGCUCAUGCACGAAAGCGUGGGGAGCAAACAGGAUUAGAAACCCGUGUAGUCCCAUG
RNAcentral lists this ribosomal RNA (473 nucleotides) under uncultured organism. Its description in RNAcentral is "partial 16S ribosomal RNA". It matches the Rfam family "Bacterial small subunit ribosomal RNA", at positions 335 to 799 of the family's 1533-position model. The record is from RNAcentral.